GACGAACCGUCCAAACGUUAUUCGGAAUCACUGGGCUUACAGAGUUCGUAGGCGGUCUGGAAAGUUGGGUGUGAAAUCCCUCGGCCUAACCGAGGAACUGCGCUUGAAACUACCAGACUCGAGGGAGAUAGAGGAAAGCGGAACUGAUGGUGGAGCGGUGAAAUGCGUUGAUAUCAUCAGGAACACCGGUGGCGAAGGCGGCUUUCUGGGUCUCACCUGACGCUGAGGAACGAAAGCCAGGGGAGCGAACGGG
This 253-nucleotide ribosomal RNA is filed under the name uncultured bacterium. RNAcentral's name for it is "partial 16S ribosomal RNA". It matches the Rfam family "Bacterial small subunit ribosomal RNA", at positions 524 to 776 of the family's 1533-position model. The record is from RNAcentral.